UCACAAGUGUCUGCCGUGUCGGGUGGGC
RNAcentral lists this non-coding RNA (28 nucleotides) under Bombyx mori (domestic silkworm). Lineage: Eukaryota; Metazoa; Arthropoda; Insecta; Lepidoptera; Bombycidae. The record is from RNAcentral.